Perognathus longimembris pacificus (Pacific pocket mouse) is the source of this 95-nucleotide small nucleolar RNA. RefSeq annotates it as small nucleolar RNA SNORD116. The record is from RefSeq and is a predicted model, not a curated record. NCBI's taxonomy places the organism in Eukaryota, Metazoa, Chordata, Mammalia, Rodentia, Heteromyidae. The transcript has a single exon.
UGAUCGAUGAUGACUCUUCAAAAAUAACAUUCCUUGGAAGCUGAACAAAAUGAGUUAAAACUCUAUAACCAUCAUUCUCAUCAUGUCUUUUGUCU